RNAcentral lists this ribosomal RNA (464 nucleotides) under uncultured Comamonadaceae bacterium. RNAcentral's name for it is "partial 16S ribosomal RNA". It matches the Rfam family "Bacterial small subunit ribosomal RNA", at positions 338 to 794 of the family's 1533-position model. Lineage: Bacteria; Pseudomonadati; Pseudomonadota; Betaproteobacteria; Burkholderiales; Comamonadaceae. The record is from RNAcentral.
CCUACGGGAGGCAGCAGUGGGGAAUUUUGGACAAUGGGCGCAAGCCUGAUCCAGCAAUGCCGCGUGCAGGAUGAAGGCCUUCGGGUUGUAAACUGCUUUUGUACGGAACGAAAAGGCUCUGGCUAAUACCUGGGGCUGAUGACGGUACCGUAAGAAUAAGCACCGGCUAACUACGUGCCAGCAGCCGCGGUAAUACGUAGGGUGCGAGCGUUAAUCGGAAUUACUGGGCGUAAAGCGUGCGCAGGCGGUUUGGUAAGACGGGUGUGAAAUCCCCGGGCUUAACCGGGGAAGGGCAUUUGAGACUGCAAGGCUGGAGUACGGCAGAGGGGGAUGGAAUUCCGCGUGUAGCAGUGAAAUGCGUAGAGAUCCGGAGGAACACCGAUGGCGAAGGCGGUCCCCUGGGCCUGUACUGACGCUCAAGCGCGAAAGCGUGGGGAGCAAACAGGAUUAGAUAGCCUGGUAGU